UUCCCAUCCCCCUCGCGCUCACCUCCCGGCUGCGCCGCGCGCGAGGCGGAGCGAGGAGCCCGCGGCCGCCGCCGAGCUGAGGGGCGAGAGCCUCGCCCGCGCCGCCGCUGACAGGAGGAUCGCCGCGGGUUGCGCUCGUCGGCCGGGAGGCCCCCGCGGUCUUUCCGGGACGCCGACCCACCGCGGGGCGUCCGGGGGCUGCGAGGUACCCUGGGAAUCGCGGGCGGCGCCGGCAGGCGGCCGCGGUCCUCACGGGAGACCCCGGGGACUGGAGCUUGAGCCCGAGGUGCGGCGAGCCCCUCAGAGCGGCAGUUUUGGUAGUACUAGACUAGCACAACCAUGUUUCGGAAUAGUCUCAAGAUGCUUCUUACUGGUGGGAAAUCAAGUCGUAAAAACAGGUCAAGUGGUAAGUGAUUAUGCUAUAUUUAUUCUGUGUAAUAUUUUACAUCUAUGUUUAUUAAUUGCUUUAUUUAAUUUAUAGGAAAGAAACUUUACAUUCCUAUAGGCUGACAUACACUUUAAUAGGUAAGAACACUUGGGACACUUAUCAGGAGUUAUCAGAUAAAGGAGGAAUUUGUGAAGGAAAAAAUUUCUUUCUAAUAUAUGAGAGAUUAAUGAAUCGGUGCAUCUAAAUAUUAGAAACUUUUUAGACCUAAAUUUAAUUUUUUGGAGUGAAUAUGUGAAAUUAUUGCAGUCCAUGUGCUAUUUGGGGAAUGAAACUAAAAAUAGGAACCAUCCCCAAAGGUUUAUACAGAAAGGGGAAUGUAAGUUGGAGAUUUUUAUAGCUAUUAAAAUGAAGUUUGUG
This 805-nucleotide long non-coding RNA is filed under the name Dasypus novemcinctus (nine-banded armadillo). Its description in RNAcentral is "lncRNA (ENSDNOG00000051335.1)". The record is from RNAcentral. Lineage: Eukaryota; Metazoa; Chordata; Mammalia; Cingulata; Dasypodidae.